RNAcentral lists this ribosomal RNA (253 nucleotides) under uncultured bacterium. Its description in RNAcentral is "partial 16S ribosomal RNA". It matches the Rfam family "Bacterial small subunit ribosomal RNA", at positions 524 to 776 of the family's 1533-position model. The record is from RNAcentral.
UACGGGGGGGGCAAGCGUUGUUCGGAAUUACUGGGCGUAAAGAGCGCGCAGGCGGUCGACCAAGUCGCGUGUGAAAGCCCCCGGCUCAACUGGGGAGGGUCACGCGAUACUGAUCGACUCGAAGGCAGGAGAGGGUAGUGGAAUUCCCGGUGUAGUGGUGAAAUGCGUAGAUAUCGGGAGGAACACCAGUGGCGAAGGCGACUACCUGGCCUGUUCUUGACGCUGAGGCGCGAAAGCUAGGGGAGCAAACGGG